Molecule: ribosomal RNA, 172 nt
Filed under: uncultured bacterium
Lineage: Bacteria
Description: partial 16S ribosomal RNA
Rfam family: Bacterial small subunit ribosomal RNA
Source: RNAcentral
CCUACGGGAGGCAGCAGUAGGGAAUAUUGCGCAAUGGACGAAAGUCUGACGCAGCGACGCCGCGUGAGUGAUGAAGGCCUUAGGGUCGUAAAGCUCUGUUGCAGGGGAAGAAAAAAAUGACGGUACCCUGCGAGAAAGGAUCGGCUAACUUCGUGCCAGCAGCCGCGGUAAU